AGCAGCCGCGGUAAUUCCAGCUCCAAUAGCGUAUAUUAAAGUUGUUGCAGUUAAAAAGCUCGUAGUUGAAUUUCGGAACCAAUAUGUCGGUCGUGCCUCGGUACGUACUGGUGUCAUUGGUUUCUCCCUUCUGAGGAUCCUUGAUGUCAUUAAUUUGGUGUCUUGGGGAAUCAGGACUGUUACCUUGAAAAAAUUAGAGUGUUUAAAGCAGGCAUACGCUUGAAUACAUUAGCAUGGAAUAAUGAAAUAGGACGUUCGAUUCUAUUUUGUUGGUUUCUAGGAUCGACGUAAUGAUUAAUAGGGAUAGUUGGGGGCAUUAGUAUUCAAUUGUCAGAGGUGAAAUUCUUGGAUUUAUUGAAGACUAACUACUGCGAAAAGCAUUUGCCAAGGAUGUUUUCAUUAAUCAAGAACGAAAGUUAGGGAUCGAAGACGAUCAGAUACCGUCGUAGUCUUAACCAUAAACUAUAGCCGACUAGGGAUCGGAUGAUGUUAAUUUUUAUGUACUCAUUCGGCGCCUUAA
RNAcentral lists this ribosomal RNA (520 nucleotides) under uncultured Glomus. Its description in RNAcentral is "SSU rRNA". It matches the Rfam family "Eukaryotic small subunit ribosomal RNA", at positions 569 to 1091 of the family's 1831-position model. The record is from RNAcentral. Lineage: Eukaryota; Fungi; Glomeromycota; Glomeromycetes; Glomerales; Glomeraceae.